Molecule: long non-coding RNA, 1424 nt
Organism: Daphnia magna
Lineage: Eukaryota; Metazoa; Arthropoda; Branchiopoda; Diplostraca; Daphniidae
Exons: 5
Source: RefSeq, a predicted model, not a curated record
UCAACCUAUCAGAAACUGCGCGAACACCGAGAGCUCUUGAUUCCCCAUUCGACCCAAGGAGGCCCCAAUUGGAUGAAGUCAUCUAGUGGUCGAAAAUUAGACUACUUGAAACUCUGGUCAUCUUUAAUUUCCCUGUGACAACGGAUAACGAGUGGUUAACAUGUUUGUUACGUUCCCCAAAUCUUAAAACUCGAAGGAUAUUUCAACCAAAAACUAACGGCAUGUUAUUUACAAUUGAUUUCCCUUGUGAUCAGCCAAGCAAGUUACUCAUCAGAUACCUGUGGACAACUUAUAUCUGCAACUCGCCAUUAUGAUUUCCCAGUGAGAGGAUUCACAUUCUGCUUUCACCUGUAAUAGGCAUCAUACUUUCAUUACUAUAGAAGUUAUGAAACAAAACACACAAAUGAUGCUGACGCUGUAGUUUACUGUUGUUUUCCAUCUGGUUGGUGCAACAUAUUCAUGUUUAUGUGGUGAAAUAUCCACCGUUCCAUCACCAAAACAUCAAACAUUCUACAACCAUACAUUGUCAUCAUCCACCUAACCAUUAUCUUCUCAGAAAUCUUCGUGUCAUUUCAACUUAACCAGCUAAGAUUCAAAGGCUUUGACAUCUUUGGUAUUUUAAGUUUCCACUGUGUGAAGUGUCGUGCCAUUGUAACGAAGAAUCUAGUGAUAGGAUUGCAAGUAUUCAUCAUCCUACUUUGCAAAAAUUGUCUUCCUAAUAACUUCUGUAGUUCUCGUCCCCAAUUAACCGCACACAACUACUUUUUCUUCCUCUUCCCACGGAUGCAAAAUCAACCAUCGACGUUCCAGUUAUGCUGUCCUUGUCUACCGGAGUCAUUUACGCGUAGCGCCAUGGCUGAGCAACAUGGAGCAAAUGAUAUAAGGGCUAGCAGCGAUAUCCCGCGGCGAUGGAGAAGGGGUUCACCGAGGAACGUCGUGCUGUGGUAUUGUUUUGUUUUGCUUUGCUUUGUUUGUGUAUAGUUAACCCGUUGGCUGCCACCCCGUUUGCGUCCCAUUUUUUUUUUAGCUUGUAGGGACCGGGCGCUGUUCUACCUCAUGGUCUAUGCCAUGGGGAGAACAGUCGCCGCGCCUUUAGGCGCCGUAGGCAAUGCACCAGUAGGGACUUCUCUUUGUCGAUGCGGUGGUAGAUUCCUGGGGUGUGCAUUCCCGGAAUGGAAUCUAUUACCGUGUCAGCCCGGACUUGUCUUCGGACAAGUCCCACCUUGUUCGCGAUCCUUCUGACGUGAUGCGUAGCAACUGUAGUAAAACAACCUAUGGGUUGUAUGGCCUGGCAGCCAACGGGUUAACUAGUUAUGUGUAUGUAUGUAUUUGUUUAUGUAUGUUAUUAUGUUCGUAUUGUAAUGUAAAACAGUGGUGGAAUUGAUGGGCGGAGGAGGGACAAUAAAAAUUAAUUCGUUUUAAUA